This 778-nucleotide ribosomal RNA is filed under the name uncultured Neocallimastigales. RNAcentral describes it as "partial large subunit ribosomal RNA". It matches the Rfam family "Eukaryotic large subunit ribosomal RNA", at positions 19 to 649 of the family's 3401-position model. Lineage: Eukaryota; Fungi; Neocallimastigomycota; Neocallimastigomycetes; Neocallimastigales. The record is from RNAcentral.
CGAGCACGCGCGUGUGGCAUAUCAAUAAGCGGAGGAAAAGAAACUAACAAGGAUUCCCUUAGUAACGGCGAGUGAAGCGGGAAGAGCUCAAAUUUGAAAUCUUCAAGGUUCUACCUUGACGAAUUGUAGUUUAUAGAAGUGUUUUCUGUUAGUGGAGUGGCAAAAGUUCUUUGGAAUAGGACAUCAUAGAGGGUGAGAAUCCCGUAUUUGGUCAUUCUUUCUAGCUUUGUGAUACACUUUCAACGAGUCGGAUUGUUUGGGAAUGCAGUCCAAAAUGGGUGGUAAAUUUCAUCUAAAGCUAAAUAUUGGCGAGAGACCGAUAGCGAACAAGUACCGUGAGGGAAAGAUGAAAAGAACUUUGAAAAGAGAGUUAAACAGAACGUGAAAUUGUCAAAAGGGAAGCGUUUGACACCAGUGUUGUUUUUCCGAAAAUCAAUUACGAAUGUUUUGUUUUUGAGGAGUUAUGACUUUAUCAGGCUUGCUGCUUUCUUUACGAAACUUAUUUAAUGCACUUUUCGGUUAACAAGUCAACAUCAAUUUCUUUUGUUGUAAAAGGGUAUGAGGAAGGUGGCUUUCUUUUCGGAGAGAGUGUUUAUAGCCUUGUGCCUCUGCAAUCGGAGAGAUUGAGGUCUGCAGCGUAGAUCCUUCGGGGUUAGAUACGUUUGUGCUAAGUUAUAGCUUUUUCAUAGACAACUUGUUGACUAUAUUUAGUCUUGUAGGCUUACUCGCUUACUGCUAUUUUACCUACGCUUAGGAUGUUGAGUAGCGACAUACGCAC